CUGCUCUUUUUGUUUACCCAGCCCCUUACAGUGGGUGUCCCAGACUACCUCAUCAACCGUGCUAAACUAGGAGCUUCUAAGAUUUGGGUUUUAUUUAGAAAAUCCCAACAUGAAGCUGCAGGGCCGGCUCAACCAUGGACCAAGUGGGUCCAAUGGACCUAGGCAGCACUUGACAAGGGGCAGCACUUCAAUGACUGAGUCGGGCACUGUCAGAUCCAGAACACUCCUGUCCUCUGUUUCCAUAGGGGAAGUUACUCAAAGACACACAGAACCGGUCAGGGGCGAUAUUCAAGAUGGAAAGUGCAUCUCUUCCUACUUACUGCCCAAUUGUAUUGAAUUGGUUGCAUGCAGGUAGGCAGGCUUAGUAAGGUCAUUAGGUUGAUAUGCUAAUCAGUAAUGUUACUACUGGGGGGUGUCAUUUCAUUCUUGGACCCAGACUGCACAAUAUCUUGAGCGGGCCCUGGCUAUUAAGCAGCAUAGAACCACAACCAACAUAAUAGUGAUGGGUGAUCCUGAUUGUUAAAGAGAUUUUAAUCCCUUUACGCUGUUAGGAUGUUCCAUGCCGUCCUAUCAGCGCUGGGCUUUAACGCCGUCAGGAGGGCAGGGAAUGUCCUGCAGCUUCCCCCUUUGUUGUAGGCAAGGAUCGGCCUGGGGGAGUGCCUAGCAGCUUAGACAGUCCCCCAUGAUUCGAUCCCGGUCUUGAAAUCACAUGAUAGCAUCAGCAAUCGCGUGAUUUCAUUUUUACUAAUAGUAAACACAAAGAGGUUAAACAGUAAAUACAUGUUAGACAUAAUGAUGUGUUUAAAGUAAAGAUUAGCCUUAGAAAAGUAUAAGUGUAAAGCUUUAGUCUCUAUUAAGUAACUUAGAACAGUCUCUUUUAUUGCCUGUUUUGUGUUUGUCCCUAAUUGUUUUAAAUAAGGGAAACAGAUAAGGGGCAACUUAAGUUCAAACAUGGGGCAACCAUUAUUUUAUAGAAACUCAGUGGAAUUUAGAAAACCAACAAUUUUUAGAGUUAACUUACAGGAAAACAGAACAAAAUAAAUAAUGAAAGUAUAUUGCACAGAUUUUGUAACCACAAAUAAGUAAACAUUCUAUAUUACAAUCUGUCAUUUUCUCUCUCCACCUGUUAUAUUCUUUCUUCUCCCCAGACUUCUUCACUUACCCACUCUUUUAGUAGUGUCCUUGAAAUUAAUUUGAAGUAAGGGGCUCCUACUUUCUUCUGUGGAGUGGAGGACAGAGGAGGACUUGGUGAUUCUCUCUCCUGAGGCUAGAAUUGGGUUAUGGGUCAGAAUAUUUUUGUUAUGGCAAUAUCUAGUGAUUCUGGGUCUAACACCUAAUUGUCAAUGUAGGGGGGAAAUGACCAUGUAAUCUGGGUUCCAGUCAACAAACCAAAUAAAUUCUUAUGAUUUGUUGCA
Long non-coding RNA from Bombina bombina (fire-bellied toad), 1415 nucleotides. RefSeq lists it as uncharacterized. The transcript is spliced from 2 exons. The record is from RefSeq and is a predicted model, not a curated record. NCBI's taxonomy places the organism in Eukaryota, Metazoa, Chordata, Amphibia, Anura, Bombinatoridae.